GUGAGGAAUAUUGGUCAAUGGGCGAGAGCCUGAACCAGCCAAGUCGCGUGAAGGAAGAAGGAUCUAUGGUUCGUAAACUUCUUUUGCAGGGGAAUAAAGUGCAGGACGUGUUCUGUUUUGUAUGUACCCUGAGAAUAAGGAUCGGCUAACUCCGUGCCAGCAGCCGCGGUAAUACGGAGGAUCCGAGCGUUAUCCGGAUUUAUUGGGUUUAAAGGGUGCGUAGGUGGUUUGAUAAGUCAGCGGUGAAAGUUUGCAGCUUAACUGUAAAAAUGCCGUUGAAACUGUCGGACUUGAGUGUAAAUGAGGUAGGCGGAAUGCGUGGUGUAGCGGUGAAAUGCAUAGAUAUCACGCAGAACUCCGAUUGCGAAGGCAGCUUACUAAGCUACAACUGACACUGAAGCACGAAAGCGUGGGGAUCAAACAGGAUUAGAAACCCGGGUAGUCC
RNAcentral lists this ribosomal RNA (445 nucleotides) under uncultured bacterium. RNAcentral's name for it is "partial 16S ribosomal RNA". It matches the Rfam family "Bacterial small subunit ribosomal RNA", at positions 354 to 796 of the family's 1533-position model. The record is from RNAcentral.